CUAUACAUGCAGUCGAGCGGACAGAUGGGAGCUUGCUCCCUGAAGUCAGCGGCGGACGGGUGAGUAACACGUGGGCAACCUGCCUGUAAGACUGGGAUAACUCCGGGAAACCGGGGCUAAUACCGGAUAAUUCUUUCCCUCACAUGAGGGAAAGCUGAAAGAUGGUUUCGGCUAUCACUUACAGAUGGGCCCGCGGCGCAUUAGCUAGUUGGUGAGGUAACGGCUCACCAAGGCAACGAUGCGUAGCCGACCUGAGAGGGUGAUCGGCCACACUGGGACUGAGACACGGCCCAGACUCCUACGGGAGGCAGCAGUAGGGAAUCUUCCGCAAUGGACGAAAGUCUGACGGAGCAACGCCGCGUGAGUGAUGAAGGUUUUCGGAUCGUAAAACUCUGUUGUUAGGGAAGAACAAGUACCGGAGUAACUGCCGGUACCUUGACGGUACCUAACCAGAAAGCCACGGCUAACUACGUGCCAGCAGCCGCGGUAAUACGUAGGUGGCAAGCGUUGUCCGGAAUUAUUGGGCGUAAAGCGCGCGCAGGCGGUUCCUUAAGUCUGAUGUGAAAGCCCCCGGCUCAACCGGGGAGGGUCAUUGGAAACUGGGGAACUUGAGUGCAGAAGAGAAGAGUGGAAUUCCACGUGUAGCGGUGAAAUGCGUAGAGAUGUGGAGGAACACCAGUGGCGAAGGCGACUCUUUGGUCUGUAACUGACGCUGAGGCGCGAAAGCGUGGGGAGCAAACAGGAUUAGAUACCCUGGUAGUCCACGCCGUAAACGAUGAGUGCUAAGUGUUAGAGGGUUUCCGCCCUUUAGUGCUGCAGCAAACGCAUUAAGCACUCCGCCUGGGGAGUACGGCCGCNAGGCUGAAACUCAAAGGAAUUGACGGGGGCCCGCACAAGCGGUGGAGCAUGUGGUUUAAUUCGAAGCNACGCGAAGAACCUUACCAGGUCUUGACAUCUCCUGACACCCU
Molecule: ribosomal RNA, 968 nt
Filed under: Bacillus sp. DSM 5850
Lineage: Bacteria; Bacillati; Bacillota; Bacilli; Caryophanales; Bacillaceae
Description: bacterial SSU rRNA
Rfam family: Bacterial small subunit ribosomal RNA
Source: RNAcentral